This 250-nucleotide ribosomal RNA is filed under the name uncultured prokaryote. Its description in RNAcentral is "partial 16S ribosomal RNA". It matches the Rfam family "Bacterial small subunit ribosomal RNA", at positions 524 to 771 of the family's 1533-position model. The record is from RNAcentral.
UACGUAGGGUCCAAGCAUUAUCCGGAAUGACUGGGUGUAAAGAGUUGCGUAGGUGGCAUGGUAAGUAGAUGGUGAAAUCUGGUGGCUCAACCAUUCAGACUAUUAUCUAAACUACCAAGCUCGAGACCGUUAGGGGUAGCUGGAAUUUCUAGUGUAGGAGUGAAAUCCGUAGAUAUUAGAAAGAACACCGAUAGCGUAGGCAGGCUACUGGGACGGUUCUGACACUGAGGCACGAAAGCGUGGGGAGCAA